Long non-coding RNA from Caretta caretta (loggerhead turtle), 812 nucleotides. RefSeq lists it as uncharacterized. The record is from RefSeq and is a predicted model, not a curated record. NCBI's taxonomy places the organism in Eukaryota, Metazoa, Chordata, Testudines, Cheloniidae.
AUUCCUUCCCAGCAGGACGCUGCCUGUGAGCACUGGGGUCCCUGGAGCAGAUGAGAGCCAGCAGAAGGAAGUGAGCAUGCUCAGUGAGCAAACUCUCUCUGUGAAGCUACUGACCAUGAGAGCACUGUCUCUCUUAUCCCAUGACUGCAUCAGAGUCUUCCGUGAGGGACCUUGUCAAAGGCUUUCUUAAAGUUCAGACCCCUAAAAAAUGUCAAAGGGAGAUGUGGACCCCUCUGGCAAUCUUAGAUAGUCUGCGAAGCUGCAGAGGGCCGCGGACCAAAGGAUGAAAACCACUGCUCUAUGGUAAUGACAACCUUUCACAGGCCCCUUAGACGUAGCCUGCGGACCCCCAGAGGUCCAUGGACAUCAGCUUGAAAACCACUGUUCAAUAGAUUGGUGAGGAAUGGCUUCACUUUACAAAAGCCAUGCUGACACUUUCCCAACAAAUCGUGUUCAUCUGUGUGUCCGAUAAUUCUGUUCUUCACUAUAGUUUCAACCAAUUGGCCUAGCACCGAUGGGUUGCCUCUAGAGCCUUUUUCAAAAAUUGUUAUCACAUUAGCUCUCCUCCAGUCAUCUGGUACAGAAGCUGAUUUAAAUGAUAGGUUAACAUACCACACUUAAUAGUUCUGCAAUUUCACAUUUGAGUUCAUUCAGAACUCUUGGGUGAAUACCAUCUGAUCCUGGUGACUUAUUAUUGUGUAUUUAUCAAUUUGUUCCAAAACCUCUAUUGACACCUCAAUCAGGAACAGUUCCUCAGAUUUGUCACCUAAAAAGAAUGGCUCAGGCUUUGGGACUCUCCCUCACAUCCUUGG